RNAcentral lists this ribosomal RNA (301 nucleotides) under uncultured bacterium. Its description in RNAcentral is "partial 16S ribosomal RNA". It matches the Rfam family "Bacterial small subunit ribosomal RNA", at positions 509 to 808 of the family's 1533-position model. The record is from RNAcentral.
CAGUCGCCGCGGGAAUACGUAGGUCCCGAGCGUUGUCCGGAUUUAUUGGGCGUAAAGCGAGCGCAGGCGGUUAGAUAAGUCUGAAGUUAAAGGCUGUGGCUUAACCAUAGUACGCUUUGGAAACUGUUUAACUUGAGUGCAAGAGGGGAGAGUGGAAUUCCAUGUGUAGCGGUGAAAUGCGUAGAUAUAUGGAGGAACACCGGUGGCGAAAGCGGCUCUCUGGCUUGUAACUGACGCUGAGGCUCGAAAGCGUGGGGAGCAAACAGGAUUAGAGACCCCCGUAGUCCCUGUCUCUUAUACC